UCCGAGGUCUGCGAGUGUCUCAUGCACACAACAUGUUUCCCAUUCAAUGCGUCUAAUUAAUCCCUUGAUGAAAAAUGAAAACAAAACGCAUCUAAGACCCGUCCGUUUCAAAACCUUGGCAAUCAAUGGGAUUUAUGUUGAAUAUUUGUUUCUUCUUUGAAUCAAUUUGGAGGCAAUCGAUCAGAAUCUUCUUUGAACCUCAUUAACUCACCGACAUACGUUUCUUCUCAUGAGAUUUAUAACUUCUAAACUGAGAUGCAUCUAGAAAUCUUCCCAACAGAUCGAAGAAGAACAGGAGAUGAUGCAUGUACCAACACAAUAUUUAUCAUUUUUUAAGAGCAACGGUAGCAGUAUCAGUGUGGAUGCUUGAAAUAAAUCAAUGGAGGUGGAUAUGGUCAGGAAGUGACAGGAACCCAUUAUCCUAAAGCUACGAGGAAUAUCUUUGCUCAAGAACGUGUGUAUUGACGAAAUAAUGAACCUUGGAUUGACUACUAAGUAUUAAGUCCAAGUAAAGGAUAUGAUCAAGUCUAUGCAAAGGAGUAACCUCGGACGGAAAUGGAAUUAUGAGUUCUUAACUACCGAUGCUUAUUUGCUGCAUAGAGAAGGGUACUUAGGAUGCAUUUUGGGGGAUAAGUUCCAUGUAUUUUUGCUAUAUCCAUGGCCAAUAAACACUGUUAUGGGAAGGUCUUGCCAUUAAGGAUGAGAGCAGGGUUUCCCUGUUCACAGCUUCCGAAACGAAGAAGUAAAAUUCUAAGUGUUGGAACCUAGCGUUUCUAAGAGUCCUUCAUGUCAACUAGCUGCUAAGAGUCCUUCAUGUCAACUAGCUGACGAAAUUUUUCCUUAAAGUUUGAGGACUUAAAUUAGAGAUUUAAACCUAUGUCUACUCUGUAUUUUCCGCACCUUAUCCAGUACUUUUGUGUAUUUACACUUUAUUUUUUGUAUAAAAGGUGAUUGUCUGGAAAUGAAUUUUUUUUGUUUAAA
Molecule: long non-coding RNA, 981 nt
Organism: Papaver somniferum (opium poppy)
Lineage: Eukaryota; Viridiplantae; Streptophyta; Magnoliopsida; Ranunculales; Papaveraceae
Exons: 5
Source: RefSeq, a predicted model, not a curated record